Molecule: ribosomal RNA, 460 nt
Filed under: uncultured bacterium
Lineage: Bacteria
Description: partial 16S ribosomal RNA
Rfam family: Bacterial small subunit ribosomal RNA
Source: RNAcentral
CCUACGGGGGGCAGCAGUGAGGAAUAUUGGUCAAUGGACGAGAGUCUGAACCAGCCAAGUAGCGUGAAGGAUGACUGCCCUAUGGGUUGUAAACUUCUUUUAUAUGGGAAUAAAAUGUUCCACGUGUGGGAUUUUGUAUGUACCAUAUGAAUAAGGAUCGGCUAACUCCGUGCCAGCAGCCGCGGUAAUACGGAGGAUCCGAGCGUUAUCCGGAUUUAUUGGGUUUAAAGGGAGCGUAGGUGGAUUGUUAAGUCAGUUGUGAAAGUUUGCGGCUCAACCGUAGAAUUGCAGUUGAAACUGGCAGUCUUGAGUACAGUAGAGGUCGGCGGAAUGCGUGGUGUAGCGGUGAAAUGCUUAGAUAUCACGAAGAACUCCGAUUGCGAAGGCAGUUCACUGGACUGCAACUGACACUGAGGCUCGAAAGUGUGGGUAUCAAACAGGAUUAGAUACCCUGGUAGUC